AGUCGGGCCCGGAGCCCGGAAGGAGUGCCCCGCGGAGAGUCGAGCUUCCUUCCCCGGGGCUGGGGGUUCCGCGGAGCUCGCUCUGGGCUGUGGCGUUGCUCGCCCGCGAGCUCCUGGGGAGUUCGGGGGAGCUGCUGGGCUGGUGCCUGGAGCGGGGGCCGCCUCCAAGUAUUGUCUUUCGAAUUAAGUUACUGUCGUCUGUGUUGUCAGGCAACAACUGACCUUAAAUAAAAAUGAAAACCAGAAGUAGGCUACACAUGCAAUAGGCUACACAUGCAAUAAUGGAUACUUAAGGAAUGGGAGUGGCUGCUGGUGACUGGAGCAGAGAGGGUGUGGUUUCCCCAUGUUUCGGGGCCGGGGGGAAGGAGUAAAGUCUGUGUUCAGAGCCCAGACGCCAUGUCGGUCAUCACAUCACCGGGAGAACUCGUGGAGCCUGAGGAAAGGCUACGGGGUGCCAGAGUCUGAAGGGGCGGAAGAUUGCAUUCCUAUCACGUUCGCCGUGGCGCACAGGGGCUCCGCUGGGGCCGCCGCUCCCGCAGGAGAAGUGGGCCUGAGACGGUGCGGCGUCGACCAUAGCCGGCCCAGCAGAAGCCGGGGAAGGCCACAAGUGUAACUGGGUCCGAGUACUGUGAAGAAGGCGCCUCCCAUGGAGAAAGCUACCGGGUAGUUUAACAAGGUGGAAAAGCGUUGGCCUGGGGAGGAGGAAAGGAUGCUCAGAAAGUUGCCUCAAAAGGACGCAGAAGUGGAGGUGAAUCUUCUGUUUCAGAGGCAUUUUUUUGUGCCUCUGUGAGAAUGCAUUGCUUCCUGGUUGAUCCAUCUUCAGGUUUUCUCUCCGUCCUAGUCCCUGUUCUGCCACCAUUCUGUGUUUGAAUCUGGUACCUAAAGCCGCAGAUACUUGGUUCAUAGUAGAUGUCCACUCUGCAGUGGCUGAAAACACGGAAGAAAAACCAUCUUUGCCUGGGAAGGACAUUAUUGCUAGUGCCAUUACUGUCAACAGUUGGAACAAGAUAAACGGCAUGCCCAAUCUAGUUGAGGAUUUUGGACACCGGGCCUCCCACUGGGACUCCGCCGAGAAACCAGGUCUGCCAUUGCCACCUCCGCCGGGCCUUGCUGUCUUAGCACAGUAAGUGCACCCGACCGCGCCCGGAGUCCCCCUUUCACUCCCACAACCAGGCCUGUGGUGAGGCUCCCGCUUGUCAUCUCCACCAGGAGGUGCUGUCCUGCCGAAAUGUUGGGGUUUUUCUCCAAACUUCCUCCUGUUCAGAAUUCGCCAUCUCAGUAGUGGCAUGGACAUCCACCUGGCCACAGCUCACGCAGAAACCUAGGAAUUUUUGUGAACACGUUUGUGUGUCUUACUAAUGUGUCCACUCUCCACUACCACUGUUUCCCAGGCCACUAGUAUCUUUUGGCCCUCUAAUGUAUUGCUAACAAAAGUACAAAAUUAUGCAACUCCUAUCAAAUAUGCUUCAAAAUUAUAAGUGUAUUUACUCUUUAAGCUAGCAGUCCUACUUCUGGAAACUAAUCCUACACAUACACCUGCACACAUAUUGUCUUAGUCUGUUUUGUGCUGCUAUAACAGAAUAUCUGAGACUGGGUAGUUUACAAAGAACAGAUACUUACUUUCUCACUCUGAGAAAUCUGAGAUCAAGGAGCUGGCAUUUGGUGUCUGGUGUGGGCCUUCCUGCUGCAUCUUCACAUGGCAGAAGGCAGAAGGGCAAGAAAGCAAGCUAGCUGAAUGCUGCGUGAAGCCUCUUAUAAGGGCCUUAAUCCUAUUAGUGAUGGAGGAGCCUUCAUGGCCUAUUUGGCAACACCUGAAUUUUAGAGGAUACACAUAUGAAAUGAUAACACAUGUGAAAUGAUAUGUAUGUAAGGGUAUUUUUUGCAGCAUAGUUUGCAAUAGCAAAAGACUAGAAAAAAUUGAUAUAUUUGUUUACUUGGAGAGUAAGGAGACUGUUAAAUGUGCCAUGGUAAUACCUUCAUAAUGAUCUCCAGCUUUACUAAAUGAAAAAAACAAUUGACAGAAUAUGAUUCAUAGUGUGCUGCCUCUCUAGUGCAAGAAAACAGGAAAAGACCAUAUAUUGCUUAUAUCUGCUUGAAGAAAUGCUACAUCGAAAUAGAUGUAUAGGAAAUAAAAGGGGUUACCUGGUGGAGGGGAGGAACCAAGUGAUUGGGAUGAGGGGAGGAGGACUUCUCCAUCUCUACUUUUUUAUGUUGUUUUGUAUACCUAUUUUUAAAACAGAUUGAAAAAUUAAGAAAAAUGUGUACUUUGUUCUAGAGUGAUGAUGGUUGUACAACUGUGAAUAUUGUAACAAAUCACUGAAUGGUACACUUUAAAGGGUGAUUUUAUGGUAUUUGAAUUAUAUUUCAAUAAAAUAAUUAUUUUAAAAAUGUUUGGUGAGGGGCUGGUAGCAUCAGCAGCAUCUGAGAAAUUGUCAGAAAUGCAAAUUCUUGGACUCCAUACU
Molecule: long non-coding RNA, 2462 nt
Filed under: Homo sapiens (human)
Lineage: Eukaryota; Metazoa; Chordata; Mammalia; Primates; Hominidae
Description: non-protein coding lnc-CEBPD-11:4
Source: RNAcentral